UUAGCUAGUAGGUGGGGUAACGGGCUCACCUAGGCGACGAUCCCUAGCUGGUCUGAGAGGAUGACCAGCCACACUGGAACUGAGACACGGUCCAGACUCCUACGGGAGGCAGCAGUGGGGAAUAUUGCACAAUGGGCGCAAGCCUGAUGCAGCCAUGCCCGCGUGUAUGAAGAAGGCCUUCGGGUUGUAAAGUACUUUCAGCGGGGAGGAAGGGAGUAAAGUUAAUACCUUUGCUCAUUGACGUUACCCGCAGAAGAAGCACCGGCUAACUCCGUG
RNAcentral lists this ribosomal RNA (276 nucleotides) under uncultured bacterium. RNAcentral describes it as "partial 16S ribosomal RNA". It matches the Rfam family "Bacterial small subunit ribosomal RNA", at positions 241 to 507 of the family's 1533-position model. The record is from RNAcentral.